This 54-nucleotide transfer RNA is filed under the name Meloidogyne hapla. RNAcentral describes it as "tRNA-His". Lineage: Eukaryota; Metazoa; Nematoda; Chromadorea; Rhabditida; Meloidogynidae. The record is from RNAcentral.
AAGCUAAUAAUUUCUAGUGAAUUUUUUAUUGUGAUUAAAAAGUUAAUCAGCUAU